This 698-nucleotide ribosomal RNA is filed under the name Salmonella enterica. RNAcentral describes it as "partial 23S ribosomal RNA". It matches the Rfam family "Bacterial large subunit ribosomal RNA", at positions 711 to 1324 of the family's 2925-position model. The record is from RNAcentral. Lineage: Bacteria; Pseudomonadati; Pseudomonadota; Gammaproteobacteria; Enterobacterales; Enterobacteriaceae.
AGACCCGAAACCCGGUGAUCUAGCCAUGGGCAGGUUGAAGGUUGGGUAACACUAACUGGAGGACCGAACCGACUAAUGUUGAAAAAUUAGCGGAUGACCUGUGGCUGGGGGUGAAAGGCCAAUCAAACCGGGAGAUAGCUGGUUCUCCCCGAAAGCUAUUUAGGUAGCGCCUCGUGAAUUCAUCUCCGGGGGUAGAGCACUGUUUCGGCUAGGGGGCCAUCCCGGCUUACCAACCCGAUGCAAACUGCGAAUACCGGAGAAUGUUAUCACGGGAGACACACGGCGGGUGCUAACGUCCGUCGUGAAGAGGGAAACAACCCAGACCGCCAGCUAAGGUCCCAAAGUCAUGGUUAAGUGGGAAACGAUGUGGGAAGGCCCAGACAGCCAGGAUGUUGGCUUAGAAGCAGCCAUCAUUUAAAGAAAGCGUAAUAGCUCACUGGUCGAGUCGGCCUGCGCGGAAGAUGUAACGGGGCUAAACCAUGCACCGAAGCUGCGGCAGCGAACGUAUCACUUAAAGCGAUUCAGCGGGUUACGAUUGACGGAGCGAAGCGACGUCAAAGCGUAUACAAAGUCGAGUCGGUUUAAGGAUACGUUCGUUGGGUAGGGGAGCGUUCUGUAAGCCUGUGAAGGUGGCCUGUGAGGGUUGCUGGAGGUAUCAGAAGUGCGAAUGCUGACAUAAGUAACGAUAAAGCGGGUGA